Molecule: ribosomal RNA, 496 nt
Filed under: uncultured bacterium
Lineage: Bacteria
Description: bacterial SSU rRNA
Rfam family: Bacterial small subunit ribosomal RNA
Source: RNAcentral
AUGAACGCUGGCGGCGUGCCUAAUACAUGCAAGUCGAACGCACAGCGAAAGGUGCUUGCACCUUUCAAGUGAGUGGCGAACGGGUGAGUAACACGUGGAUAACCUACCUCAAGGUUGGGGAUAACAUUUGGAAACAGAUGCUAAUACCGAAUAAAACUUCGUAUCGCAUGAUACAAGGUUAAAAGGCGCUACGGCGUCACCUAGAGAUGGAUCCGCGGUGCAUUAGUUAGUUGGUGGGGUAAAGGCCUACCAAGACAAUGAUGCAUAGCCGAGUUGAGAGACUGAUCGGCCACAUUGGGACUGAGACACGGCCCAAACUCCUACGGGAGGCUGCAGUAGGGAAUCUUCCACAAUGGGCGAAAGCCUGAUGGAGCAACGCCGCGUGUGUGAUGAAGGCUUUCGGGUCGUAAAGCACUGUUGUAUGGGAAGAACAGCUAGAGUAGGGAAUGACUUUAGUUUGACGGUACCAUACCAGAAAGGGACGGCUAAAUACGUG